RNAcentral lists this ribosomal RNA (70 nucleotides) under Chengkuizengella marina. RNAcentral describes it as "Chengkuizengella sp. YPA3-1-1 partial 16S ribosomal RNA". It matches the Rfam family "Bacterial small subunit ribosomal RNA", at positions 1 to 69 of the family's 1533-position model. Lineage: Bacteria; Bacillati; Bacillota; Bacilli; Caryophanales; Paenibacillaceae. The record is from RNAcentral.
UUUAAUGGAGAGUUUGAUCCUGGCUCAGGACGAACGCUGGCGGCGUGCCUAAUACAUGCAAGUCGAACGA